UUUUGCAUAAUGAGCCUACGAGUUACCGUUGCUAGCAAGGUUAAGUGAUUAAGUCACGGAUCCCGUAGCGAAAGCGAGUCUGAAUAGGGCGCUUUAGUUAGUAGUGGUAGACGCGAAACCGUGUGAUCUACCCAUGGGCAGGUUGAAGCUGUAGUAACAUACAGUGGAGGACCGAACCGGUUGACGUUGAAAAGUCUUCGGAUGACCUGUGGGUAGGGGUGAAAGGCCAAUCAAACUCGGAAAUAGCUCGUACUCCCCGAAAUGCAUUUAGGUGCAGCGUUGAUUUAUAGUUUUAUAGAGGUAGAGCUACUGAUUGGAUGCGGGGGCUUCACCGCCUACCAAUUCCUGACAAACUCCGAAUGCUAUAAAAUGUUGAUCAGCAGUGAGGGCAUGGGUGCUAAGGUCCAUGUCCGAGAGGGAAAGAACCCAGACCAUCAGCUAAGGUCCCCAAAUAUAUGUUAAGUUGAAAAAACGCGGUUGAACUGCUUUGACAGCUAGGAUGUUGGCUUGGAAGCAGCCAUUCAUUUAAAGAGUGCGUAACAGCUCACUAGUCGAGCGGUUCGGCAUGGAUAAUAAUCGGGCAUAAACAUAUUACCGAAGCUAUGGAUUUAUAAUUUAUUAUAACUGGUAGGGGAGCAUUCUAUAGGUGUAGAAGGUGUACUGUGAGGUAUGCUGGAACGUAUAGAAAAGAAAAUGUAGGCAUAAGUAACGAUAAUGCGGGCGAGAAACCCGCACUCCGAAAGACUAAGGUUUCCUCAGCUAUGCUAAUCAGCUGAGGGUUAGUCGGGACCUAACGCGAACCCGAAAGGGGUAGUGGAUGGACAACAGGUUAAUAUUCCUGUACCUGCUCACACUAAAAGUGACGGAGGCGAAAAGUUAGUGCGUACUGACGGAAUAGUACGUUGAAGCGAGUGGUAACACCGCGAUAGUACACUGAGACUACGGUCAAGGUGAUAAUCUAGCAAAUCGACUUCCAAGAAAAGCAAGUGAAGCAGCCCGUACCCUAAACCGACACAGGUAGUUGGGAUGAGAAUUCUAAGGAGCUCGAGAGAUUCAUGGUUAAGGAACUAGGCAAAAUAGACCCGUAACUUCGGGAGAAGGGUCGCCCCACUUCGGUGGGGCCGCAGUGAAAAGGUCCAGGCGACUGUUUAUCAAAAACACAGGGCUAUGCUAAAUUGAAAGAUGACGUAUAUGGCCUGACACCUGCCCGGUGCUGGAAGGUUAAGUGGUGGGCUUAGAGGUUUACCUCGAAGGUCUAAAAUGAAGCCCCAGUAAACGGCGGCCGUAACUAUAACGGUCCUAAGGUAGCGAAAUUCCUUGUCGGGUAAGUUCCGACCUGCACGAAUGGUGCAACGAUCUGGACACUGUCUCAACCAUGAGCUCGGUGAAAUUGUAGUAUCGGUGAAGAUGCCGAUUACCCGCUGUGGGACGAAAAGACCCCGUGCACCUUUACUAUAGCUUAGUAUUGGUUUUGGAUAAGUAAUGUGUAGGAUAGGUGGGAGACUUUGAAGCGGCAUCGCUAGGUGUUGUGGAGUCAUUGUUGAAAUACCACCCUUUGCUUAUCUAGAGUCUAACCUUCAUUCGAAGGGACAGUGCUUGGUGGGUAGUUUGACUGGGGUGGUCGCCUCCAAAAGAGUAACGGAGGCUUCUAAAGGUUCCCUCAGUACGGUUGGUAAUCGUACGUAGAGUGCAAUGGCAUAAGGGAGCUUGACUGAGAGACCUACAAGUCGAUCAGGUACGAAAGUAGAGCAUAGUGAUCCGGUGGUUCCGUAUGGAAGGGCCAUCGCUCAAAGGAUAAAAGGUACGCCGGGGAUAACAGGCUGAUCUCCCCCAAGAGCUCAUAUCGACGGGGGGGUUUGGCACCUCGAUGUCGGCUCGUCACAUCCUGGGGCUGGAGAAGGUCCCAAGGGUUGGGCUGUUCGCCCAUUAAAGUGGCACGCGAGCUGGGUUCAGAACGUCGUGAGACAGUUCGGUCUCUAUCUACAGUGGGCGUUAGAAAUUUGAGUGGAUCUGACUCUAGUACGAGAGGACCGAGUUGGACCAACCUCUGGUGUAUCUGUUGUUCCGCCAGGAGCAUUGCAGAGUAGCUACGUUGGGAAGGGAUAAGCGCUGAAAGCAUAUAAGCGCGAAACCCACCACAAGAUGAGAUUUCUUUAAAGGGUCGUGGGAGAUGACCACGUUGAUAGGCUAUAGGUGUAAAGGCAGUAAUGUCAUAGCCGAGUAGUACUAAUAACCCAUAGGCUUAUUGUACGCCUGUUUUUUUAUAAGAGUACAAGAAUUAUUAUUAGGAUUUAUAUGUAUGUC
RNAcentral lists this ribosomal RNA (2304 nucleotides) under Formosa agariphila KMM 3901. Its description in RNAcentral is "bacterial LSU rRNA". It matches the Rfam family "Bacterial large subunit ribosomal RNA", at positions 606 to 2925 of the family's 2925-position model. The record is from RNAcentral. Lineage: Bacteria; Pseudomonadati; Bacteroidota; Flavobacteriia; Flavobacteriales; Flavobacteriaceae.